CGCCUUGCCAGCCGCUCAGAACUCACAGGAAUUGACGGGGGCCCGCACAAGCGGCGGAGCAUGUGGAUUAAUUCGAUGCAACGCGAAGAACCUUACCUGGGUUUGACAUACACCGGAAAACCGUAGAGAUACGGUCCCCCUUGUGGUCGGUGUACAGGUGGUGCAUGGCUGUCGUCAGCUCGUGUCGUGAGAUGUUGGGUUAAGUCCCGCAACGAGCGCAACCUUGUCUUAUGUUGCCAGCACGUGAUGGUGGGGACUCGUAAGAGACUGCCGGGGUCAACUCGGAGGAAGGUGGGGACGACGUCAAGUCAUCAUGCCCCUUAUGUCCAGGGCUUCACACAUGCUACAAUGGCCAGUACAGAGGGCUGCGAGACCGUGAGGUGGAGCGAAUCCCUUAAAGCUGGUCUCAGUUCGGAUCGGGGUCUGCAACUCGACCCCGUGAAGUCGGAGUCGCUAGUAAUCGCAGAUCAGCAACGCUGCGGUGAAUACGUUCCCGGGCCUU
This 502-nucleotide ribosomal RNA is filed under the name uncultured Rhodococcus sp. Its description in RNAcentral is "bacterial SSU rRNA". It matches the Rfam family "Bacterial small subunit ribosomal RNA", at positions 905 to 1382 of the family's 1533-position model. The record is from RNAcentral. Lineage: Bacteria; Bacillati; Actinomycetota; Actinomycetes; Mycobacteriales; Nocardiaceae.